CCCGCACAAGCAGCGGAGCGUGUGGUUUAAUUCGAUGAUACACGAAGAACCUUACCCAGGCUUGACAUGCAGGUAUCGGGGUUUAUGAAAGUAAGCCCACCCUCGGGAGGCCUGCACAGGUGCUGCAUGGCUGUCGUCAGCUCGUGUCGUGAGAUGUUGGGUUAAGUCCCGCAACGAGCGCAACCCUUGUCACUAGUUGCCAUCAUUUAGUUGGGCACUCUAGUGAGACUGCCGGUGACAAACCGGAGGAAGGUGGGGAUGACGUCAAGUCCUCAUGGCCCUUAUGGGUAGGGCUUCACACGUCAUACAAUGGUCGGGACAGAGGGUAGCCAACCCGCGAGGGGGAGCCAAUCCCAUAAAGCCAGUCGUAGUCCGGAUCGUAGUCUGCAACUCGACUACGUGAAGUCGGAAUCGCUAGUAAUCGUGGAUCAGAAUGUCACGGUGAAUACGUUCCCGGGUCUU
RNAcentral lists this ribosomal RNA (462 nucleotides) under uncultured Rhodocyclaceae bacterium. Its description in RNAcentral is "bacterial SSU rRNA". It matches the Rfam family "Bacterial small subunit ribosomal RNA", at positions 920 to 1382 of the family's 1533-position model. The record is from RNAcentral. Lineage: Bacteria; Pseudomonadati; Pseudomonadota; Betaproteobacteria; Rhodocyclales; Rhodocyclaceae.